Molecule: long non-coding RNA, 151 nt
Filed under: Amphimedon queenslandica
Lineage: Eukaryota; Metazoa; Porifera; Demospongiae; Haplosclerida; Niphatidae
Description: uncharacterized LOC109593403
Source: RNAcentral
GAACUAAAAGAAAAUGAUCAAGACUUAUUGCAUACAGAAGUUAUUUCUUAUAUUAUACUUGAAGAAGCUGAAUAUAAACUAAGAGAUACUAUCAGUAGCGAAGAGAAGGAAACAAUUGAAUUGAAACAAGAACUAUCAAUGAUGAAAGUAC